RNAcentral lists this ribosomal RNA (469 nucleotides) under uncultured bacterium. RNAcentral's name for it is "bacterial SSU rRNA". It matches the Rfam family "Bacterial small subunit ribosomal RNA", at positions 30 to 494 of the family's 1533-position model. The record is from RNAcentral.
AUUGAACGCUGGCGGCAGGCUUAACACAUGCAAGUCGAGCGGAAACGAUGAUAGCUUGCUAUCAGGCGUCGAGCGGCGGACGGGUGAGUAACGCGUAGGAAACUACCCAGUAGUGGGGGACAACAGUUGGAAACGACUGCUAAUACCGCAUACGCUCUACGGAGGAAAGGGGGCUUCGGCUCUCGCUAUUGGAUGUGCCUGCGUGAGAUUAGCUAGUUGGUGGGGUAAAGGCCUACCAAGGCAACGAUCUCUAGCUGGUCUGAGAGGAUGAUCAGCCACACUGGGACUGAGACACGGCCCAGACUCCUACGGGAGGCAGCAGUGGGGAAUAUUGGACAAUGGGCGCAAGCCUGAUCCAGCCAUGCCGCGUGUGUGAAGAAGGCUUUCGGGUUGUAAAGCACUUUCAUCAGUGAGGAAAGGUUAGUAGUUAAUACCUGCUAGCUGUGACGUUAACUGAAGAAGAAGCACC